RNAcentral lists this ribosomal RNA (481 nucleotides) under uncultured bacterium. RNAcentral's name for it is "partial 16S ribosomal RNA". It matches the Rfam family "Bacterial small subunit ribosomal RNA", at positions 899 to 1397 of the family's 1533-position model. The record is from RNAcentral.
ACUCAAAGGAAUUGACGGGGGCCCGCACAAGCAGCGGAGCGUGUGGUUUAAUUCGACGCAACGCGAAGAACCUUACCCAGGCUUGACAUGCUACUGCAAACCGGUGAAAGCCGGCUCCUUCGAGGGUGUAGCACAGGUGCUGCAUGGUUGUCGUCAGCUCGUGUCGUGAGAUGUUGGGUUAAGUCCCGCAACGAGCGCAACCCCCAUCGGCAGUUAUACGUGUCUGCCGAGACUGCCGGUUUUUGACCGGAGGAAGGUGGGGACGAUGUCAAAUCAGCAUGGCCCUUACGCCUGGGGCGACACACACGCUACAAUGGGCCGGACAGUGCGCGGCGAGGUCGCAAGACUGAGCAAAUCGCCAAACCGGUCCCCAGUUCAGAUCGGGGGCUGCAACUCGCCCCCGUGAAGGUGGAGUUGCUAGUAACCGCGUAUCAGCCAUGGCGCGGUGAAUGCGUUCCCGGGCCUUGUACACACCGCCCGU